Molecule: transfer RNA, 74 nt
Filed under: Vulcanimicrobiota bacterium
Lineage: Bacteria; Bacillati; Vulcanimicrobiota
Description: tRNA-Gln
Rfam family: tRNA
About the family: Transfer RNA (tRNA) molecules are approximately 80 nucleotides in length. Their secondary structure includes four short double-helical elements and three loops (D, anti-codon, and T loops). Further hydrogen bonds mediate the characteristic L-shaped molecular structure. tRNAs have two regions of fundamental functional importance: the anti-codon, which is responsible for specific mRNA codon recognition, and the 3' end, to which the tRNAs corresponding amino acid is attached (by aminoacyl-tRNA synthetases). tRNAs cope with the degeneracy of the genetic code in two manners: having more than one tRNA (with a specific anti-codon) for a particular amino acid; and 'wobble' base-pairing, i.e. permitting non-standard base-pairing at the 3rd anti-codon position.
Source: RNAcentral
UCCCGGGUCGUCUAACGGUAGGACGCAGGGCUCUGAACCCUGCUAUCGUGGUUCGAAUCCAUGCCCGGGAGCCA